UCCGCCUUCAAAGGCUUUGGCGCCAAGUUGCUGCUGCUCGGCGUGGUUGGAAGAUGCGGGGCCGGGAGCCUUUGGGAAAAGGGGCGAGCUGUCGGGCGGCCACCCCAAGGAGUGCGUGGCCAGGGUGUGGAGGGAGGCCGCUCGUCCUCCUCUGAAUGGGGUGCCUUCCCUGUGGCCUCCCUUCCCGAGGACCCCGUGGUGAAGGAGGGUGUGGCCGAAGCGCCUGUUCCCGUGGUGUGUGUGUGUGCGGAAAGCCGGUGCCAUCUUCCUUCCCGGGAGCUGGGCAUGAGCCCCCAUCGUGCUGUGUGUCCCGGGCCCAGUGAGCAGGACUGCGGUGUCCUGAGGAGUCCCUUGGCUUGCAGUGAAGGAGUGGGGUGUGCGCGGUGAAGGGAGAUGCGGCAGCUAGGCCUGCAGCGGGGAGGGCCAUGGCGCCGAGAUCCAGGCCUUGAGCCUCCACGCGGCUCGGAAGGUGCUGGAGCAGCUGCUCUGCGCACCCCGGAUCUGAGGCCGACGGAGUGGACGCAGCCAGAGGAGGCUGUGAAGGCCUGUGCCCGUGGUCUGCAGUGACAUGGGGACGCCCGGCAGGGGUUGCGGGGAGACGGCCACUUGUGCUGGAGGCUGGAAGGAGCGCGGAGCGGAUCAGAUGGGCUCACCUGCGGCCUUGUGCUUCGCUGUAGAGUUCUUGAUGGCUCCUCCUAGAACCAGGGAAGACAGCUGUCUGCAGUCCGGAGCGCGUGUCUUCAGCGAGACCUGCCUCUGCUGCUGUCCCGAUGACAGCGUGCCAGUCUCCAGAACUGUGAGAAACAAAUUCCUGUUGUUUAUCAAGCACUCAGUUUAUGAUAAUUUGCCAUACAAGCCUAAGCCAAGAGGCCUCAAAUGCAGUGACAGGUUAUUCGCCAUUGCUGCCUAAAGCAGGUUCUGCAAAGAGGAACAGAUCUCUAACCUUUGCAGGCUGCCCAGUCCCCCGCCUGGCCAGUUUGCUGUACCCCGUGUUCUGGGCAUAGAAGUGAAGAGGCUAUCUCAGAAUUCCAAGUCCCGUGGUUUUUGAGAUCCGAACCCUCACUAGAAUAUUCUCCAUGGAAAUCCAGGAUUACUCUGUGCUGGUUAGCACCCAGCUGUGGUCAGCCUGGGCAGAGGCCUGGCGCGCAUGUGGGAUUACUGAAAUGAAAGCUCCAGGGCCUCCCUGGCAGGCCUUGCAUACUGCGGCAGGUAGCGCCCCUGGCUGUGUGCGUUCACAGCAAGCACGUAGCCCACUGUGCUACACAGAAUCUGCUUCUGGUCCGAGGACUCCCUAAGCGGCUAGAAGGAGGGUCAUCCUGUGUUCCAGUGCUAAAUCCCAUGCCGCCACAAAGAUUCAGGCUGUCCUCCUGUGUGUGAUUUGACAAGAAUUUUAUUCAGCACUAAUAACAAAGUGUUGCAUUUUGCUCAUUACAUGUUACUUGGUGGAAUUAUCGGUAUUUGAGAUGUGGAAAUUCAGCCCACCAGGUAAACAUGAGAAUUUACAACAGUAGAAUUUGAGAGAGAUUACUGCAAAUGUAAUUUCUCUCUAUAUGCUAUCUAAUAGCUUAGGACUUUCAAGUCAGUCAUCUCAAGUCUGGCGUAUGGAAUCUUCAAAGACGGUCUUUUUUUAAAUUUAUUUUUAUUGGAAAGU
Molecule: long non-coding RNA, 1651 nt
Organism: Ochotona curzoniae (black-lipped pika)
Lineage: Eukaryota; Metazoa; Chordata; Mammalia; Lagomorpha; Ochotonidae
Exons: 4
Source: RefSeq, a predicted model, not a curated record